This 3020-nucleotide long non-coding RNA is filed under the name Heterocephalus glaber (naked mole-rat). RNAcentral describes it as "lncRNA (ENSHGLG00000040690.1)". The record is from RNAcentral. Lineage: Eukaryota; Metazoa; Chordata; Mammalia; Rodentia; Bathyergidae.
GCUGCGUAGUAAAACCAGGGAUGGCGGCACGGACGUGGGAGGGACGCGGAGGCAGGGGGCCCCUCGGGCAGGGCCGGGAAACGGAGCCGCGCGGGGAGGGGGUAGCACGAGCCGAGGGGGGCUCCGAGGCGCUGGGGUCACUUGUAGGCUUCAGAGGCGGCCAGGGUGCAGCCCCCUGCGUGCCCACUGGGCGGUGCCUUGCUGGGGCGGCGGGAGGGAGGUUAUUUUUGCACAAGCUGCCUGCACCUGUGCCGUGCUGCAACUACAGCCGCAACCACUUAGAAGGACUCCGCUGCCCGCACCGGUGGUGAGCCUCACCUGAGCACCGCGAAGCUGUCAAGCCCCCACAGUGUGCCCCGCUGUGUCCCCCAUCCCUCCACGCCCGGCUGCAGCGCCAUCUUUGAGGGCCCCCCUGGAAGGAGCUGACCCAGAGGCCAGCCUGGCUGUGGAAGGAGUUGCCAGUCCAAGAGCACUGGGGAUGAAGCCAGGGCCUUGCAUGUGCCAGAUGAGCACUCUGCCGCUGAGCUGCACCCUGCCAAGUGUGACCUCGUCCUAAUUGUACCUGCAAAGACUCUGUUUCCAAACUCCCUACGGCUUUAUUCACAGCCAUGUGAGCAUUUUUGCCCUGGAUUCAGCACUAACCUGUGCUAGGCACCCCUGCCUGGCAGGACCACCCCCUGCAGUGGGCAGUCCCCGUACACAUGCCCAGCUCUUCCUGUCCGGCUCUGAAUAGCACCUCGGCAUGCCGGGGAGCCCCAGUGCUGAGCCUCCUGGGAACACAGGGACACCGAGGCACCGAAAGGGGCAACUUCACAUGUGCAGCAAGAGGAGGCCAAGGCUGGGACCCCAGCCCACCAUCCACACUGCCUCUGGCUGUGGCCCCUCCUGUGUCUGUGCAGAGGGGUGCAGCUGCAGGGGGGAGGGCUGCGCCCACCCCAGCUGGCCCAGAGAGCCGCUCGGCCCGGGAAGAAGCCCUGCCCCACAGUGCCACCCACCGCAGCUGUGCUUGGCAGGCCGGGGACAGUAAGUCCUGGCAGUUGCCAAAGCAACGCUGCCAUGGGGCAGAGGGCAGCCUGCCAAGGGUGCCCAGCCUUCCUGGGAAGGCAAGCCUGCUGCCCAAUGUUCAGAGCGGGCCGGGAGCCACCCACCCACCCAGAGGGCACACGGUGAUCUGGGAGGAGGCCACAUGGAGAGGCUCCUGGGGAGAGGAGCUAAUUCUCCUCCAUCCCCGUGCCCAGCAGGGGGGCGGUGUCCAGCAGGAGGCCCCCGCAUACCCUGCUGGCCAGCGCUCCAGACAGACGAUGGGCAGUGCCAGGCGGAGACCCCAGCCUGGGGAGGGGAUGUCUGUGCACAUGGGGGACAGGGGCCAGCAGUGUCAUCCAGAGCUGUGCAGUGGCCCCUGUGGGCCCUGCAGGGCUGCUGAACUCAGGGGACCAGGGCUGGGGCUGGAGGGGCAGCUCCAGGCAGGAAUGAAGCUGGAGGGGCUGCGGGGGACAGGCCAUCUGUCAGCUCGGGGCAGGUGCUGGCAGGAGAGUUGGAGCCCGUGCCAUCCCUCCAUCCGUCCACCAAGCUGCUGGCCCCUCCACCCCGCUGCCAGCCCCCACACGAGGCCUGGCUGCUCCCAUCCCGCUCUUCCUGGGGUUUUUGCUUUAUUAAACCAUCCUCACGCACUCUGUGGGUUUCCUUUCUUCAUUCUGGUGUAAUGAACAUAACAAAAUUAGCUACCUUAACAUGUGGCACCCAGGGGCGUUGACACCUUCACAGUGACUUGUGACCAGCACAACUGUCCAGCUCAGUGUUCUCCCUGUCCCAAGGGGAAACCUGACCCCACUGAACACCGACCGCCCUCCCCCUCCCUAGGCCUGGCCACCAGCCAUCAGUGCUCUCACUAUGGAUUUACCUAUUCUGGACCUUUCAUAAAAAUAGACUCCUACGUCCUGUCGUGUCUUCCGUGUGGCUUCCUUCACCCCACAUGUGUUCCUAAGCUCCUCCAUGUUGGGCUGAGCAAAUUCCAUCAUCUGGCUGGAACAUCUUCUUAGUCUGUUCACAUGUCACUGUUGGUGCAGCUGCUACUGAGGAGAUGCUGGCAUCCGGGGGAACCCUGCCCAGGGCUGCCUGGGAUGCCUGGGCUCAAGGCAAACCCUCUUGGAGAAUUCUGCAGGACCAGGGCCCUUCCACGGGGUGGCCAUCAUUCUGCUUAUAGGAACGUGGCCAAGGCAAGGGAGGUGCUUCUGGGACAGAGGCAAAGACAGCACGCUGGAGCCUCGUAAGGCCCAGCACAGAUGCUCAGUCCAGGAAGCUGCUGGAACACCCGAGCCCAGACACACAGGGAGUUUGUGACGCUGUGGAGUGAGGUGGCCUGUGGGAAAAGACAGCAGACAAAGCAGCUCGUGCAGGCCCUGGGUGUCGGUCACUGAGGGCGGAGGUUGCACAGCUAAACCAGGGUGGAAAAGGAGCUGCUCGGGCCUUUAUUUCCCUGUCACUAUUGAGAUGCAGUUCUGUUGCUGAAAUACAAAGAUGAAAGUCUUAGGCCUGGAAAGCAAAUGGGCAGUGAGGCAUCCCCUACAGAUAGGCCGUAGCCAGAGGGGCUUCUGAUGAGGGGUCCCUGCCCCGGUCCCCAAGGUCCCACUAUGGCAAUAGCCCUUCACAGGGUCCCCCAGAGAAGCCAGCUUGGCCCAACAGAGCCUCCUGCUCCUCCACGGCCUUAAUGUUACAGAGCAUCCUGGGCAUGGCUCCCUGGCCCCUGUAGUGGACACAGACAGCUGCUUGGCCUUGAUCACUCUAGGAGGCUCAGGUUCUCCUGCUGCUUCUCAGGCACUCGGGCCAGACUUGUUGUUUCCACUCAUAUCUUCAUCUCUUGUUUUACACGAAAGCACAGGAUAAGUUCCUAGAAAUACAAAACCUACCAAAUCUAAAGCACACAAAAUAGAAAACCCGGACAGACCUACAGCUAAUAAAGAGAUUGACUUAGUAGGCUGGGGAUUUAGCUCAGUGGUUUUGCCACCUGCUGUGCAAGCGCA